CGUAGGUGCGAGCGUUGUCCGGAUUACUGGCGUAAGAGCUCGUAGGUGGUUGUCGCGUCGUCUGUGAAUCCCGGGCUUAACUUCGGGCGUGCAGGCGAUACGGGCAUAACUUGAGUGCUGUAGGGAGACUGGAAUUCCUGGUGUAGCGGUGAAAUGCGCAGAUAUCAGGAGGAACACCAAUUGGCGAAGGCAGGUCUCUGGGGCAGUAACUGACGCUGAGGAGCGAAAGCAUGGGUAGCGAACAGGAUU
Molecule: ribosomal RNA, 249 nt
Filed under: uncultured bacterium
Lineage: Bacteria
Description: partial 16S ribosomal RNA
Rfam family: Bacterial small subunit ribosomal RNA
Source: RNAcentral